AUUUGAAAUCUGGCGCAAGCCCGAGUUGUAAUUUGUAGAGGAUGCUUCUGGGCAGCGGCCGUUCUAAGUUCCUUGGAACAGGACGUCAUAGAGGGUGAGAAUCCCGUAUGUGACCGGCACGUACCCUCCACGUAGCUCCUUCGACGAGUCGAGUUGUUUGGGAAUGCAGCUCUAAAUGGGAGGUAAAUUUCUUCUAAAGCUAAAUACCGGCCAGAGACCGAUAGCGCACAAGUAGAGUGAUCGAAAGAUGAAAAGCACUUUGGAAAGAGAGUUAAAAAGCACGUGAAAUUGUUGAAAGGGAAGCGCUUACAACCAGACUUCGUGGCGGUGUUCCGCCGGUCUUCUGACCGGUCUACUCGCCGCCGCGAGGCCAGCAUCGUCUGGGGCCGCCGGAUAAGACCUUGGGAAUGUAGCUUGCCUCGGUAAGUGUUAUAGCCCAUGGUGAUGCGGCGUGCCUCGGGCGAG
Molecule: ribosomal RNA, 465 nt
Filed under: Phaeophleospora hymenocallidicola
Lineage: Eukaryota; Fungi; Ascomycota; Dothideomycetes; Mycosphaerellales; Mycosphaerellaceae
Also listed under: 1 other name
Description: partial large subunit ribosomal RNA
Rfam family: Eukaryotic large subunit ribosomal RNA
Source: RNAcentral